This 277-nucleotide ribosomal RNA is filed under the name uncultured bacterium. RNAcentral describes it as "partial 16S ribosomal RNA". It matches the Rfam family "Bacterial small subunit ribosomal RNA", at positions 333 to 606 of the family's 1533-position model. The record is from RNAcentral.
CAUGUCCUACGGGGGGCAGCAGUGAGGAAUAUUGGUCAAUGGGCGGAAGCCUGAACCAGCCAAGUCGCGUGAGGGAAUAAGGCCCUACGGGUCGUAAACCUCUUUUGCCGGGGAGCAAGGGCCGGGACGCGUCCCGGCCCGGAGAGUACCCGGAGAAAAAGCAUCGGCUAACUCCGUGCCAGCAGCCGCGGUAAUACGGAGGAUGCGAGCGUUAUCCGGAUUUAUUGGGUUUAAAGUGUGCGUAGGCGGGCUUUUAAGUCGGCGGUAAAAAUUCGGG